CUUUGUUAUUUGCAUACAUUUCACAAUUUUGUGCUUUCUUCUUUUGCUUUUGUAUGCAUUUAAUAGAGGUCCCUUCAUCUAUGCCAGUAGUCGAUAUAUGAUAACUAGCAGCAGCAAUGAGGAUCCUACCACUGCAGUUAAUGUAGAGGCCAAGUUAACCAAUGAAGAUUCUCCUAUAACCAAUCAAGAGGCCAAGUUAAAAUGGUUCUUGAGUUUUCUCAUGCAUGAAUGAGAGAAUCCUCUAUGAAGAUUAAGAGAAAGAUUAAGAUGUUUGGAUAUAUUCUUGAAGGCAGUGGCUAUAGCACCUUGCCUUCUCUUUUUUCAUGAAUUUGAUUCCAUUGUGCUGAAGAGGGGGCAUGAUAGUACAGGGGUCACCAACCAUGUCAUCAAUCAUUUUUUACCGAAUCAGAUGGUGUUGAAGUUUUAAGCGGUGUGUUUGUGUUGGCUGGAACAAGUUGCUAAAGUAGCUUACAAGAAGUGUAGUAAACUGGUCUUGAGCCUCUUGAACAACAUCAAUGGAUGUCGAUCAUUUCAGUUUUGAGUGUGCCAAAAUCUUGUCAACUCAUCCUCAUUGACUGCCCAAAGCUCAAUAGAGAUGGAUAAGAGUCUUGGAAUGCAGUCAACUAUUCCUAUUGAAAUGUCUUCAGAUGUAACGGUGGGGAUCUACAUGAGCAACUUAAAGUUGUUUGCCGGCCAAAGUUUGUGUGGUUAAUAGUCUUAUUCUGCUUAGGCAUUCAAUGGGUUAAUGUAUUGAGCAUUGACCUUAGCUUUUGUUUGCUGAAGUACUUAUUUUUCAAUACUCAUAUUUAGCUUAAUCAAAGUUCAUAAUUUGUUUCAUAGACCUUGGUAAAUCAAUCAAGUAGUGGACAUGUUGGGGGACUAAAACUUGAAAGAUCUGCGACUUCCUUUCAUAUUCUCGAGUGUGCUUCCCACAUACUUCACAUUGUUUGAUCGCUUAAUUCACUUUUUCUUGGUGGAUGAGGAAUUCAUUAUUUUGUUGGAAAAGGGAGUAGCUCCUUGUACUCAACACGUGUGAGGAUCCUAUUAUUGUUUUAUGAGUGUCUUCCCCGAUUGAGUAUCUAGACGAGCAAUACUAAUCUCUGUCAUAGGUUCCUAAGUGUCUGUUUCCCAUUGGGUGCCUUACUUUUCAUGUAACAUCAAAGUCAUUAUAUGGUGGUGAGUUGUCUAAUCCUCUUUUUGCUGAUCGACAAUGUAGUGAAGGGAGCUUGUGGUUAGACUCUGCAAAAUUUCAAUGAGAUAAUGGGAUUGCUUGAGAUUUUGGGGUUUAACUACCUAACAUUGUUUCCCUGAUGCAUUCUUGUAAGUGAGCUAAAUUAUGCAUGGAUUUUAUUCAAGGAAGCUUGUAUAACUGCAUUGAUUGUGUCUGAUCUCUCUCUAUCUCUCUGUCUCUUUGUCUCUGUCUCUGUCUCUGUCUCUGUCUCUCUAUCUCUCUGUCUCUCUCUCUCUCUCUCUCUCUGUGCUAAUAAUGUGGUUAAUAUUAACUUGUUAAAUAAAAUUAUUUGAUCUUCAUAUCUAUCAUUCUUACCUUUGCUGAUGAAGUGUUUUUGUGCAAGCUCCUCAAAGGCCAUGGUCAAAUGUUCUUUUACAUGGACGUACGGCCUUUGGCAAGACAUGCAUUGUUAGUGCAGCAAUAGCAGCUUGUUCUCUUCAAUCCAUAUCAGUGAAAGGGCUGAACUGUUGGAUAAGUACAUUGGAACUUCUGAGCAAGCUGUAAGAGGCUUCUUUUCAACUACAGCGAUGUUGAUUGAAUUCCAUUGUGCAAUCUCACAUCUAAAUUUGUUAUCAACUCCAUGUCUAUAUCAAAUGCCAAGCAAAAAUAACUGAUUUUGAGAAGUGGUUAGACAUAGUCGCUACUCUGCAGGCCAAGAAGAGUUCUGAUAAGGUUUGUUGUCUCGCACAACUCUUUCUUCUGACUGUGUAAACUAGUCAAGAUUUGGAUUGGGUAUUGUUCAAUUCCAUGGUCACCAUCUUAUUUGCGGCUCUUUGACAGAUCCAUGUCCUGAGGAGAUUUAGUCCAACAACAACAUAAUAAGUGGGUGACCUGAGGAUUCUCAUUGACUUUGCUAUAUCUAGUAUUGAUUUGUCUGCAUCCUUCUUUUUUCUUUUUGUAUAUUGGCUAUUUUAAAUCACUCCCAAGGCAAUCGCUAGUGGUGCCAUAUGGUUCCAUGUGGUUUUCAUCUUAUAAGCGGCUAAUAUCCCUUGCCUUCUUUAGAUAGAGUCCUUCCCCGUCUCUUUCAUACCAACUAACUAGCAUGCAAGAACUGUAGUUUGACAAUCUUGUUCUCGUCUGUUCACUAGUCUCUGCGCAAGUGGUGAAUUGUACAUCCCAAUACUUUCUGCCAUCAACAAAGUUUCCUGCUCGUGUGCUGUCAUUUGCAUAUCUCUAUAGUGAACAAGAAUCUGCUAGAAUUAUCUUGCACUAGUCCUUCAUAAAACCAACUACGAGGUAGCCAGGCAUCUCAGCCUCUCUGCCAAAACACAGAGCGUGCAAGUAGUACUAUGUCCUCCCUUCAUCUCUCCUACCUCGAUCUGUCUCUACACUGAGGUUUUCUCCCUCAAAUAGGCUACAACCUUUAAACCCCCCUUGGCAAUGUUGCAUAAAUAAGGUGUGCUAUCUCUCUCAAUGCAAAAAUCUAGGAUUUGAAUUGAUCAAUCAUUUCAAAUUGGGGCACCUUGAUGCAACAAUUACUUAACCUCACCACUCCAUUCGACCAUAGAGAUAUCCUCUUUUUUAGGCUCUAGAUUAUUUGAUACUGAACUAGGAACCUGCAUUAUGAUUGAAGUAAACUGGCUGAUUGGAAAGCUCCCAUUUUUUGGCAUUCACCUUUCCAACCUGCAAGUUUGUACUUGGGUAGCUCAAUUGUUGGAUCCCAAAUUGUUUUUGACCCAAGAGGAAUGUUUAGAUGUGCUAUAGCAAAGUGACCUCUUAUCGAGCAUGCCAUUAUAUGUGGGCAACGAGCAUGUGUCCAUAUUACUGAAAGAUUGAACUGUAGCCUUAGAACUGGAAUUUAAGAUUGAAAUUCAAGCUAAAU
Eucalyptus grandis is the source of this 3053-nucleotide long non-coding RNA. RefSeq lists it as uncharacterized. The transcript is spliced from 5 exons. NCBI's taxonomy places the organism in Eukaryota, Viridiplantae, Streptophyta, Magnoliopsida, Myrtales, Myrtaceae. The record is from RefSeq and is a predicted model, not a curated record.